UUUUCGACGGCCACCAUGCCUUCUCCAAUUUCAAACAUAAUAGACCCCCAAAAAACCAUAGUCAUUUCUCUCAUCCGCCAGCCGCCCCAUUUUCCUUUUUUCUAUCAUCUCUCUCAUCCUCUCUAACCUCUCUCAGCCCUGAAACCUAACACAAAUUGGUGCAAAACCACCGUGCGACCACUGUAAGACAUUGUUAGCCGAGAAACUAGCCUAGAACAUUCUCAUUUUCAUCAUCUCCUUUAAAAUCUCAAACUCCGAAACCUAAUCGACAAACAUGAAAGCCACAAAAUCUCAUCAUCACACCUUUACCCAUUUAAAUCCAACAUUAAGGCCUUGCAUGCACCCUUAGAUUCGGAUGAAUAUCCGACCUCAAUGUGAUGUUUGAUGACACAGAGAUCAAAUGCAAGUCCCUCUAGGCAAAAGCUUUGUCCGGAGGUCCGACAACUUCAACGACUAGUUCAAUCGUCACUUUUGAGAGGGUAAAUCUUCCCUACUUUUUCUCCUCUGAUUUGUUCCCUUGAUUUCGUCAUGAGUUUUAUCAUUAGUGUUCAUUAUUGUUCAUUUCCUUCAAUCAUUUUUGAAUCUGAGAGUUCCAAAUCUCCAACCUUAAUGUACAACUCUUUGUCUAUAAAUAUUGUCUUUAAUGACUUUACUUAAAACGAAUCAGUAGAUUAAAUACAACUAAACAAAAGGUAUUAAAAUCUCUCUAUUGCUCACGGUCUUUUAUCCUUUUUCUCUCCUUUAAUUCUAGUCGAGGUAAGUUGUUCUUGAGUUGAGUUCGGACACAAAUCCUAAAUUGUUAAAGCUAAGCCUUGUUUGUUUCCCUAAAGAAGGUCAGUGUGCCAUCAUUCAAUUUUAUUUCAAAUGAUUGAAUUCUGUGUAUGGCUUCUAGUGUAUAGUUAUUCUAUCUGAUUAGUCAAACGUGUGUUGAAUCUUAUGCGAGCUACCAUAUUUUCUUACCUUAUUAUCAUGAAUAAGAAGCAUGUUGAGAGAUUUGCCUACUUAGCAUGUUACUGCCACGAUAAAAAAUCCACCUAGUCGGGAUGCCACCUUACCCAACCCGCUAGGUAAGCCAAACAAUAGUAAACAUAACUCGAAUGAGAACAAUAAGCAUCAAUAAAUGAAAUAACUGAAUCUCUAUACAAUAACCCAAGGAUUUGAUAGUACAACUCAUGAGCCACUAAGACUUAGAUUUACAAAACUGGUAUGAAAUAAAUAAAACAUCUGUUUGGAAUGUACAUAACAUAUUACAAAUCUAAAACUACCAAGGACAAGUGGUAGCUAUAUCCGAAAAUCAAGUACAUCUUCAGUACCAGCUCCUCUCAUCCACAACAUCUCAGCUCCAAGGUCUGCGCACAAGGUGCAGAAGUGUAGUAUGAGUCCAACCGACCCCAUGCACUCAGCAAGUAUCAUAACUAACCUCGACAAAGUAAUAUAAGCAAGAAUUAUAAGUGAUACUCGCCAAUCACCUGUACAAUUCAUAAAUUCCAAUAAAUACAGAACAGUAAUAUGAUAGGAUAAUGAAAUCCCAGAUAAAACCACCCUGGUAAACAAAAGUUUCUCAACAUGCUCUGCUCAGUCAAGUAAACAGCCAAGGAUAUUUCAAGUAAAGAUAAAAUGCAAUAACCACCAUGGUAAGGAAGAUAUGAAAAUAAGUCAGGUAAACAACCAAGGAUAUUUCAAGUAAAGAUAAAAUGCAAUAACCAAAUAUCAAUCUGUUGCGUCGCGCAAUCCAAUCCAAUAGAAAUCACAAUACGGCUCUAAGGCCCACAUCAGAAUCUCAAUAACUGAACCAAAUAACUGAUCAGCCUUCCCAAGGCCCACAUCAACCAGAAACCCAUCGAUUUCUCAUAAUCCGCGUAUACACGAUCAAGAAGGAACAUGAAAGGGUGACCCUAGGGGGAUGGAUACAUAUCUACACGAUGCAAAAAUAACUCACGAGCUGUACAGACAACGCACGUACUAAUAAUAACAACCGCACGGAUAACUCACGUGUUGCACGGACAACUCACAUAUUGCAUGGACAACUCACGUGCUAAUAAUAUCAAUAUCUGGGAUCCGCACGGAAAACUCACGUGAUGAAUGGACAACUCAUGUGCCAAUAACAUUUCAACCCCAUGAACAACUCACAUUCUGCACGGACAACUCAUGUGAUCAAUAUCAAAAUCUGCCCAGCAUAGUCACAGGCUCAAUAUUACAAUCAGCUUGGCAUGGUCAUAGGCGCAAUAUUACAAUCUGUCCGGCAUGGUCACAAGCAUAAUAUAACAAUCCGCCAGGCAUGGUCACAUGCUACUAGUCCAAAGCAUAUCACACUCCUGGACUGGUAUAAGCUUAUAUAUGAAAAUGGGGCGGGGCGGGGCAAAACCUUAAUGGGGCAGGGUAGGGCAGGGUAGGGCAUAGUCCUAAUUGGGUAGGGCAAAGUCUUAAUGGGGUAGGGAUAGUUGUGCUUUUGCAUGCCAUUGAUGGAAAACAUAAGGUUUAUUGCAGAGGUUAUAUAUAUGUGCAUGGGAUCAAUUUUAUUACUAUUGAUGACUUGAUACUAUAUAUCUGUAUGAUCUGUUUUGUUAAAUUAUACGUACCUAUUAUCAACCUACCACCAUGUACGUGAAUCUCGUGGUGAAAAAGAUAAUUAAUUAGUAUAUUGCACACUAAAUCUAAUUUCUGGAUGUCUUUUUUUGGAUCAAAAUAUUAUCCCAAAGACAAAAUCUAAUUUUACUCUUACUAUAAUUAAAGUUCAGUAAUAAUGCUUGAUAUUAAACUUGACUGGCUCAAAGAAAGUUAAUCCAGUGAAGUCUUGAAUAUUGUUAACGGACUGCAGAAAAUAUAAGGGGAAUUCAGUCUUUGAUACAUUAUAUAACAUUGAUAAAAAUUUAUUCAAUAAAUAUGCAUAAAUAACUAAACAACAUUUUGAAUGUUUCAAUAGAAAGUUGAAAAGGUAAAAGAAAUUCAAAGCAUACUGCAAAAAUAAAAAAUAAAGAGAAAAAAAUAAAAAAGAGUCUAAACGGGGCAGAACGGGGCAGGGCCUAAUAGGGCGGGGUGGAGCAGGGCAAAAUUUUUGACAAACGGCUAAAUGGGGCAGGGCAGGGCGGGUCAAAAUUUUAGCGGGUCAAGGCUUGCCCUGCCCAACCCUACCCUGCCCUGCCCUAUUUACAUCCCUGUAUAAGUUAAAUGCUAAGGUGUAUGCAUGUGCAAGUGUGAUAUCAUAGCCCAAUCAGGUAAUUACAUCACACAAUAGCAACUGCCAGGUUCAAUUAGGAGAUCAACCUCUAUUUAACCUCAAACAUGGUUCAAAUAGCUCAUAACAAGGGAUACAAAUAAGAGAAACAUCAUAGCAUGAAGCUUAGCCAACAAUCCAAGGCAUAUCAUAGCCUAAAUACUAACAUGAGCAUGGAAAAUACACCGAUGCACACACAUGGGCUCAAUCCCCACACAUAUGCGCCACUCAUAUCAUGUAGCUAUCACAAAUAACUCGGGCAACUACUGCCUCAACCAUGUUUAGGUAAGAUAAUUACCUUAAGAAAGCCAAAAUAAUACUCUAGAAAAACCAUCCCGUGAAAAUCGACCUCCAAACGCCACAUAACUAGCCAAAAGUAACACAAAAUAUCAAGUAAUGGCAUAGGAAAGAAUCCAAAUGAUAAAGGUCGAAUCUUUAACCAAAACUCAAAUUCAACCAAAAGUUGACCCCGAGCCCGCACCUCUAAUCCCGACAAAACUCACAAAUGCCAACAACCCAUUUGAAACGAGUCCAACUAUACUAAUUUCACUCAAAUUCGACUUCAAAUUUAUGUUCACAAGUAAAUUAUUCACUUUAGAAAAGAUUAGGCAAAACCCCCAAAUUUCUCUUUUAGAUUCGUCAAUCAAAUGCCAAAAUCAAAGAUAGAAUCAUGUAAAAUAAUCAAAUUCGAGUAGAAAAUACUUACCCCAAUGGAAAUGGUGAAAAUCCUUUUCAAAAUCGCCCAAAUAUGAGCUACAAAUCUCAAAUUGUGAUAAAAUGAAUCAAAACCUCGAUAUAUAUUAAAUCUACACAGGGAUGUCGCAUUUGCGACAAAAUGACUACUUAUGCGGAAACGUAUAUGCGGCCUCAACCCCGCCUCUACGAAAAUGCCUAACCUCGGCCCAUGUCGCUUCUGCGACAACAUAUGCGCUUUUGCGCCCGCGCUUCUGCGCUCAAGAACCGCUCCCGCAGACACGCUUAUGUGACCAAGACUCAGCAUUUACGGUCUUCUCAUCCAGCAGUUCAUUUAUGCUUCUGCGACCACGAGCCUGCUUCUGCGGACAUGCAUCUGUAACCAACCCUCCGCAGAUGCGGAAGCAGCAGAACAAAAAAUCCUUCAGUAAUGCAACAUGAGACAAAACAGUCUGAAACCACCCUGAACCUCACCCGAGCCCCUCGGGACCCCGUCCAAACAUACCAACAAAUCCCAAAAUAUAACACGGACCAACGCGAGGACUCAAAUCACACAUAGUAACACCAAAUCGAUGAAGCACUAAUCAAUUCGAGCUUGAUGAACUAUUUCAAACUUCUACUUUUCAAAGUUACGCCGAACACGUUAAAACAACUCAGAAUCACCUCAAAUUUUUCACACAAGUUCCAAAUGACAUAACGAACCUAUUCAAAAUCUCGGAAUAACAAUCCAAACAUGAUAACAUAAAAGUUAACUCCCGGUCAAACCCAUGAACUUCCAAACCUUCAAAUUGUCAAGUUUCGCUACUUCAAGCUAAAACAUUCUAGAAACAUCCAAAUACUCAUCCAGGCAUACGUCCAAGUCAAAAAUCACCAUUCGGGCCUAACAGAACCAUCAAAACUCCGAUCCACAGAACUAUCAAAACUCCGAUCCGAGGUCAAAUACAUAAAAGUCAAACUAUGAUCAACGCUUCUAACUUAAAGCUUCUAAAAUAAGAAUCAUUCUUCCAAAUAAAUCUAGAGUCACUCGAAAACCAAGACCAAAGAUACAUGCAAGUCAUAAUACAUCAUAUGAAGUAAUUCAUGACCUCAACCACCAAAACAUUCUCCCCCACUUAAACAUGUGUUUGUCCUCGAACAUGCCACGAGUCAUUCCAAAGCCAUCAAAUCACUGUAUAAAUUUACCAUAGACAUACACAUGGGUGAUGCCAUGUCACCCCAAACUAUAUAAGCCUGAAAACACAACCUAAAUGAAGAUCUUUACUUCAACCUUAGUCAAUAAACCUUAGAACCCAAUUUCUAACAUCCAACAUUCAUCAUGAGACCCGAAUCUUGCAUCUAUUCAUUGUAUAAGUACAAACAAGAUAUAUCGAGCCAUAACCAUAACCCAAGAUAUACUUACAUGAUAUUCCACAUCACUCAGAUUCUCGUAGCAACAACUCCUAACCAUAAUAGCUUCCCAAGAACAAUCCCGAUACCGGUAGCAAACCCCAUAUCAAAUUAAACCUUGUUCUAAAACUUUGUAUACUGCCAAUGAUGAAAAAAACACGCAGAGACUCAUCACCACCCAUCAUAUUAACAAGUCAUGGAGCUCUCUCGUUCGACAAGAACCAUAGCCAAAUUCUAAGAUAACUAGUGACACUAUUCUUCCAAACAUACCUUAAUCAAAUCUGAUAGCACUUAUUCGAGGUGCAAUAACCUCAUCUUAACCAGUACAAGCUGGUCCACAAACAUGGAGCACCAGCACCACCUCGAGCAACAUACCGUGCAACCCUUACAGCAAACAAGCUAUAACUUGAAUGAAUGCAAUUAUGGAAAAAGAAUCAAAUAAGAGAACCAUCUCGCAUGCUCAUCAUAUAUCACCACAAAGCGUAAUGCUAUGAACCCAUAACAUAGGAGAAACAAAUACACGAGAUUAACACAAAUGAUCAUAUCCCAACAUAACUCUAUUGUGAUGCGUGGCCCAAUCCGAACACCGGUCCGUAUGGAAUAUCUCAAUCCAUGAUACUUAAAACCAAUAACCAUAUGCAUAUCGUCAAAAAACAGGCAAAGUGCAUGACCAUAACCAUGGAGAAACAAGUAGCACAAUACACAAAAAACAUGAAGACCAUAACCAAGGGGCGAUCAACCAUUUAAUACCACAAGAGCCAUCUCGCUCAAAUUCUGCCCCAAGGCCAAAAUAGAACCUCAUCACGUGUGUAAAUAGUCAACAAUCUCACAAUCCAUCAUAGAAUAGGAGAGUAACAGAUUGAACAUAUUAGAAUACGAAUAAGUUCAACCCUAACAGAUGACACACCCCACAACAAUAGUUGUGCUGAGUAAACAAAUCCGACCCGAUGUAGAAUGCACAUUCUCAUUAGGCCUACCAGUGGCCUCCAAAUCAAUUCUGAUCCUCCCGAGUAGAUAACCUUUAAAAAUUACACAGUGACCUAUCCAUGACAAAAUACCACCAGCUGUCUAACCUCGGCCAUACCCUCACAGUCCACAACUAAGAGAUAGUCUGCCUAUGAGAACUCCAGUCUCCAAAUACCUAGAAUGCUAGAAUUACCAUAUCCGAUCCCAACUCGACUACUUGAGUGACUGACACCACCCUCAUACACAAUCAUCACAUACAAAAUACUUCCAAAAUUCUUUCGUGCCCCAUAGCUAAAUCCGAACAUUAGCAAUCGAUCAACCAGCCGAUUACUGUAAUACUAGUCAAGCAUCCGCAAGUCAAAACACCGUGCGUCUUCUGAAAUGCGCACCUUUCUCCGGUAAUACCAGAUAGUGCCAUCAUUCUCCUAAAUAUAUGAAACCAUCAAUGCUGUCUAAAACUCAUGACCUUCCCUUGGAAUAGAAUCACAUCCUUGUACUUGCAACCACAAUACCACACGUCACACCGUAUCUAUUAUGCCAUCUUAUGAAAACACAAGAACCCCAUUAUCAACUCUAAAUCACAAGCAGGAUACACAUUCUGUCAGCCAGAAACCUUCCACCGCACUAACGAAUCGAUUGUCGUUAUUACUAUGAUGACCCAUUCUUCAAGUUCCUCUUGACUUGCCUUCAAGUUAACACUUCUCCUUGAUAGUGCACUUUGAUCCUUAAUCCCAAGCUCACCACAAGUAAUUCCUGCAUGAAACCACGCCGUCCUAAAGCCCAUAGGCUGAUUAUUCCCUCUUAAACACCCAAUAGUACCACAACCGUGAUACCCACGCCGAAGAGACCUUCUGUGAAUCUGAAGUUGUUUCCUUAACAUCUUAGGUAUUGAAAUUCAAAACCCAUAAUGAUACAAAAAUACCACAAGUAUCGGGCAUCAUACCAUGCAAGUCUCAGAUCUUAGCCAAAUAAAAAUUCCGAGAAUCCUCAAAUACCACAUAUGAAUCUUGAACUCAAUAUAACCUUCUCGAAUGUUAUCCACUCUCCUCUAAUCUUCAAUGCACCACCAUUACGAGCUGAAAAACUAGUGCUCCAUUAGCACACUACCUCCACUAUGAAUAAUAAACCUGAAUCAUUCUAAGAUUUCCAUAUGCCCAUAAAGUAUAGCACAUUAUGCAUCUGUCAAUUCCCUCGCUCAAGUCACUCUCAAAACCCACCUUUUUAAUUUAUAAUUGAUCCCCAAGUAUGCCUCACACUGAAACUAAUAUAACACAUGACCAUACAAUCUGAUCGUCAAUAGUAGACUCCCCCACUAGGAUCAAAGCCAAAGAACAUAGUCCCAUAAUCCACAAUACCCUUACUUCAUAAUUUCAAUAAUCCCACACUUUAAUUCAACAAAAAUUCUUCAAACGCUCAUGUUGCUCUAAUCAUAAAGUACCUCAAAUCAUCUACUAAGCAUACAUUCAUUCUCAUGACAGUCAUAUGGGCUCCCUCAAGUAAUCUGAACUCUAAGUGUAGCACACACAUCCCACUGGGUAGAAAGAAAACCGUUGACAUAAACAUCAUAAGGAUCACACAACCUCAGAACAUCCCGCAGGAGAUAACCCACCUGCUUAGCCUCAAACUAGCAUCUCUCUAUGCCCUAUCAUGGUCUCGACCACUAUACAAUCACUUGAUCCUCCCCAUGCUCUCACCCUUUUUUACUCAAAGUAUCGGCCACCACAUUGGGCUUUCCCGGAUGAUAAAGAAUGUUAAUAUCAUACUCCUUUAGUAGCUAUAACCACCUCUGUUGCCUCAAGUUUUGAUCCUUUUGCUUGAAUAAGUGCUGGAGGUGCCUCUGACCUGUGAACACCUCACAGGACACGCCGUAAAGAUAAUGCCUCCCAAUCUUGAGCGCGUGAACAAUAGCUGCCAAUUCCAAAUCAUAUACAAGGUAAUUCUUCUCAUGAGGCUUCACCUAACGUGAAGCAUAAGAAAUAACUCAACCCUCCUGCAUCAACACACAUCCAAUGCCAAUAUGUGAAGGAUCACAAUAGACUGUAUAAGAACCCAACCCUGAAGGCAAAACCAGAACCAGAGCUCUGGUCAAGGUAGUCUUGACCUUCUGAAAAAUCCCUUCACACUCAUUGGACCACCUGAAUGGUGCACCCUUCUGCGUCAAUAUAGUCAAUGGUGCAACUAUAGAUGAAAUUUCCUCCAAAAAAUGCCAAUAAUACCCGGCCAACACAAGGAAACUCCAAAUCUCCAUAGAAGAUGACAGUCCGGGAUAACACAGAACUGCCUCAAUCUUCUUCCAAUCUACCAUAAUCCCCUCACUAGAAACUACGUGGCAUAAGAAUGCCACUGAAUCAAGCCAAAACUCACACCUGGAGAAUUUAUCAUAUAGCUUCUUCUCCUACAACGUCUGGAGCACGAUCCUUAAAAGGUGCUCAUGAUCCUUCCGGCUACGAGAAUUCACAAAAAUGUCAUCAAUGAACACGAUGAUGAAGGAAUCAAGAUAUGGCUAGAACACGUUAUUCAUCAAGUGCAUACCAGUUGCUGGGGCAUUGGUCAACUAAAAAGACAUCACCAAAAAGUCGCCUUUGGAAUAUCUAAAGACCAUAUCUUCGACCGAUGUUACCCCAAUCUCAAAUCAAUCUUAGAGAAUACUCUAGCACCCUAAAGCUGAUCAAAUAAAUGAUCAAUACACGGUAGUGGCUACUUGUUCUUGACUGAAACUUUGUCCAACUGCUUGUAGUCAAUGAUCAUCCCCAUAGAACCAUCUUUAUUAUUCACAAAUAUUACCGGUGCACACCAAGGAGACACGCUAGGACUGAUGAAACCCUUAUCAAGUAACUCUUGUAACUAUUCCUUCAACUCCUUCAACUCUACUGGUGCCAUGCGAUAUGGUAGACUAGAGAUGGGCUGAGUGCCCGCCACCAGAUCAAUACCAUAAUCAAUAUCCCUGUCAGGUGGCAUGCUCGACAGGUCUACAGGAAACAUGUCUAGAAACUCCCUCACCAUCGGAACUGACUCAACUAUAGGAGUAUCGGCACUAACAUUCCUCACGUAGGCAAAAUACGUGAAACACCCCUUAUUAACCAUCAAUUGAGCCUUCAAAUAUGAAAUCACUCUACUGAGAACAUGAUUAAGGGAGCCUCUCCACUCCAACCUCGGCAACCCCGGCAUUGUCAAUGUCACGGUCUUAGCGUGAUAAUCAAGAAUGGCGUGAUAUGGAGACAACCAAUCCAUGCCCAAAAUCAUGUCAAAUCCACCAUGCUAAGCAAUAAAAUAUCAAAUCCGGUCAUAUAACCCCCAAUGGUCACCACACAAGACCGAUAUACACGAUCCACCAAAAUAGAAUCACCCACUAGUGUAGAUACAUGAAUGGGCAUAUCUAUAGAAUCACGAGGCGAAUCCAAAAAAGGAGAAAAGUAUGAUGACAUAUACGAAUAAGUGGAACCAAGUUCAAAUAACACUAAAGCAUCUUGGUGGCACACGGAAAUAAUACCUGUAAUCACGAUGUCAGAAGCAACUGCCUCUGACCUGUGGGGAAAUGCAUAGCAACGUGCUUGACCACUGCCUAACUAACCUCCCCCUCUAGGGUGACCUCGACCCGUACGACCUCCACCUUGAGCUGGCUGAGCGGGUGGUGUAGCAACUGGUGCAGGAGUCAUACUUUGACCUCUUUGCUACGUGCGAUCUCUAAUAAGAUGGCGGAAAUACCUCCACACAUGCCCCAACAACCAUCACUCGUAGAAACCUUGACCUUGAGAAGACUACGGGGCUUGAAUCGGACCCCGGGAACCAGAAUCACCUCUGGAAGAGGUCGAUAUUGAUGAACCCAGAAAUGGUAGAGUAUCAUACAAGUUUUAAUAUAGGAUUGCACUGGAUGAUAAAUAAACUGGCCGAGCACUGUAUGAACUGUGGCUAGCUGAAGAACCAUGAGGAACUUGACUAGCUGUUUGAGCGAGCCUAAAAGGAUGACCUCUGCUGUGAUGUGACCGGCCUAUACACGAGGCACUGCUAAUACCACCUGAACCACGAGGCCUCUUGGCCUCCCACUCCUCUCCAUUGAGCAUGCGAACCUGCUCCAAGCGCCUAGCAAUAUUAACCACUUGGUCAUGCCUGACAUCCGUCUCGGCCUCUCGAGCCAAACUGUAACGUAGACCAUAGUUGAGGCCAUCAAUGAAUAUCCUGAUCCACUUUCUCUCUCUCGGUGGUAACCAACCAUACUGCAUGACAAGCCAAAUCCGCAAAUCUUAUCUCAUACUGGGUCACAGUCAUAUCUCCCUCGCGUAGCUACUCAAACUCCCAAUGCAACUCCUCUCUGUGAGUCCGUGGAACAAACUUCUCUAAGCAAGGAACUGAGAAGUCGUGCAAUGCAAGUUGUGCUGUGUCAGCUACCCUUCUUGACUCAUAGGUCGGCCAUCAUCUGUAGGCUGCCCCUGUUAGCUGAAAGGUAGUAAAUGUAACUUCACUAGUGUCCAUAAUACCCGCUAUAUGAAUAAUCCGCUAACUUCGAUCCAUAACACCCGGAGCAUCCCCUGACUCUACUCAACUGAACUCGGGAGGGACAAGCCUCUUAAACUGAUCCAACCUCUUCAGCUCCUCGCCAGACAUAGGAUGACUGAUCUCGGCCCAAGAAACAAUAACUGGCUGAACUGGUAACACCCAUAGUGUCGGAUAACCCUAAGCUAGUUGCUCUCCCGCAGCUCGUGAGGUAGAUGGUGCAACUAGUAUCAUACCGCCCGAGCCAAGCUCGUGUACACACCGAUGAUCUAAGCCAAAGUCUCUUGAAGACUAGGCAUAGCAUUAGGCACCGCCGGUGUCUGAGCUGGUCCCACUGGAUCAAUAGUAUUUGGAACUUGCUCUUCUAUUGGAGCAACUGGUGGCUCCACAGGUGCUGCUCUAGCUGUAGCGCGAGCCCCACCUCGGCCUCUACAUCGGCUCCAGCCUCUCACGGCCAUAACUGGUGGCACUGGUGCCUGAUCGGUUGAACGUGUCCUCACCAUCUGUGAGAGAAUAGAAGAGUAAUGUUUUAGACUUCAGAGUUAACAAUUCCGCACGACAAGGAUGCAAGAAAGAAAAUUUUCCUAAUAGUUUGGUAACCUCUUGAAGAUAAGUACAGAUGUCUCCGUAACGAUAUGCAAGACUUUACUAAACUUGCUCAUGACUCGUGAGACCAAGGAAACCACGUUCUAUGAUAUCAAAUUGUCACGACCCAACUCCAACCGGGGCCGUGACGGCGCCUAACACUACUUGCUAGGCAAGCUAACAGUUUCACAAUAAUAAUGAACUUAGUAAAGCAGAUACAAUCUCAACAGUGGAAAUAUCAUGAAAUAUUAGAGAAAAACAACUUUAAUACUCAACCAUCCCAAUGAUCCGGUGUCAACAAGCACAUGAAAACUUUUGAAUGUCAAAAUACAAGGCCAAAUCCUCAAUACAACUAUCUGAACAAAAGAAUAGUAAUAAUAAAAAUAAAUGAAAGAGAAACUCCAAGGUAUGUGGAUGAAAAAGUAGCCACCUCGUAGUCUCCUCAACUAGUAUUGGUGCGAACACUACCAAUCGCCAUGCCCAGAAUUACCUAGAUAUGCACAUGAAGUGAAGAGUGUAGUAUGAGUACAACAGACCCCAUGUACUCAAUAAGUGACAAAUCUAACCUUGGGUUGAAAGCAGUGACAGACUCGGAAGAACAGUUAGUGACCAACAUCAAUAAUCAGUAACAACUCAGGAUAUAAAGGAAAUAAUGUGUAUAAAUAACUCACUGAUAUCAUGCUCAUCUCGUUCACGAUUGCAAAAAUUUUGACAUGCUUUCCAAGUAUAACAGAUAAAUCUCAACACAAAUAUGACAUUUCACUUACCAGCUAGCAUGACAUCUCUAUUUCUGUAUGUUAAUGCAGAUGUCAAGUCAAUAACUACACUCUCUUAGCACUCUCACGGUUCCUGGCACAAAUGGCCCUCACUAUCACACACAACCACACUCAGCACUAAGGAUAUAACCACAAUUAAGGCUAACAUCUCAAAGCAACAAGAAUAGCCCUACCAUGUCCCAAAUAAUUAGAAACGUACCCUAGACAUGAUUUCUAAAAUGAAUCAUAGCUCAAAUAAUCAUACAAGUAGAGAGAAAUAUGGAUAUAACGAGGUAUCACAGUGGAACAAGUCCUGUAAUAGUCUAAACUCCACUCGGAUCAUGAAUACCCCGGUGUACGCACACACUCCCGUCACCUAGAAUGUGCAUCACCCAAGUUUAGGUAUGUUACUUAGCUCAAAACACGGGAAUUAAUACUCCAAAAAGCCCUUCUCACGUAUAUCGACCUCCGAAUGACUCGAAUCUUGUCAAAAUAACUUAAUAUCAUCAAUAGAAACCAUAGUAGACAAUCCCAAGCAAUAAAGCUAAGGUCUUUAUUCAAUUGUGCAAAGUCAACCCAAAAGGUCAACCCCGGGCCCGCAUCCCCGAAAUUUUAUGAAACUUACAAAUUCCGAACACCCAUUGCGAUACGAGUCCAAAUAUAUGUGUUUCACCCAAGUCCAAUCUCAAAUCGACCUUCAAAUCAUCAUAUCUCACUCUUCAAAAUCAUAGUAAAAAAUCCCAAAUUUCACCUUAAAUUCACAUAAACUAGGUGUAAUAAUCUAUGAGUAAUCAAUAUCUAACAUCAAAAUUGAAUAAACUUCACUUUCCUCUGCAAUUGUAGUGAAACGUCUCUCAAAAAGUAACCCUUACCCGAACUCCAUAACUCCCAAAAUGAGAAAGCAAUCAAACCCUUCAAAAUUUAUUACCGCUAGUGAUUCUGCAUGUGCGGUCACUUGACCGCAUCUGCAGCUCUUCUUCUACCGAUAGAAUCUUGCAUUUGUGGUCUUGCUCAAAUACAUGACAUUCCCUUUUGCGACCAACCCUACACAUCUGCGGCUAUUCCUUCGCUGAUGCGACUUUGCACCUAUGCCCUGCCUCCCACACCUGCGAUUUUCCUCGACCUCCAGCCUUGCUCGCUUCUGUGGCCCCUUGCCCGCAUUAGCAGACUAGCAUCUGGGACCGAUCCUCCGCAGGUGUGAAACCACCAGACUCAGCAACACUUCAGCCAUGCAACACGACUCCAAAACAAGUCGAAACCAACCCGAAACAAAGCCGAGGCCCCCGGGACCUGUCCAACCAUUCCAGCCAAUCCUAAAACAUAAUACGAACCUACUCAAACCCUCAAAUAAUAUUAAAUGACAUCAAAACCAUGAAUCGCACCACAAUUCAAGCCUAAUGAACAAAUAAACUUCCGACUUUCAAAAGUCAUGCCAAACCAUAUCAAUUCAAUUUGGAAUGACCUCAAAUUUUAUACACAUAUGUCCCAAAUGAUACAAAUGACCUAUUCUGACUCCUGGAACCAAAAUCUGAACCCGAUAUAAACAAAGUGAACUCUUGGUCAAGUCUAUCAACCUUCCAAACUUUCAACUUCCAACUGUCGCCAAAAAGCAUCAAACCAACCUACGAACCUUCAAAUCCAAAUCCGGACACAAGCCUAAGUCCAAAGACACCAUACAAAGCUAUUGGAACCAUAAAACACCAUUCCGGAGUCAUCUACACAAAAGUCAAAUUCUAGUAAACUCUUACAACUUAAGCUUCCAACCAUGGGACUAAAUAUUCCAAUUCACUCCAAAUCCUCCCUGAAACAAAACUAACAACCCUGAGAAGUCAUGUAUCCUCAAAUACAAAUUAGUAAAGCAUAAAAUAGAGGAAACGGGGCUAUAAUACUCAAAACGACUGGCCAGGUCGUUAUACGAACCGCCAACAUCACGAAAAUAAAUCUGACCUUGAAGUCGCAACACACCGUCCGCACUAAGGACCACCUCCUUAGCAGUACCUCGCAACACCGUGUCCCUACGUCAAUAAAAUGGAAACCAUCAUACUCACGAUCCUUAAUGCAUUCAAAGCAGGACUACUGUACAACAACACAAGCAAGACCUUUACUAAGUUCAGAAAUACCCAAUCUCGAACAUUUAUUAACCAAAUCCUGAAUAUUCAUAGCCCAAAUGCCUCUCCUCUACUGGAAUAAAUGGCAAACUCCAAAUUGUGAACCCAAUUGUUCUUCUUAUGGGGUUGCUAUUGUCGCAAGCUUAAGCAAUUACCCUACCAUUCUGCACCAACACUGCGUUGAGUCCAACACAUGAAUCAUCACAAUACAUUGUAUAAGGCCUUGAUCCCAUGGGUAAUACCAACAUUAGCGACAACCCCUCCGUAAAGUGACAAUAAUAGUCCAUUCUCGUACAUAGAGGAAAAACAUCAUGCUCAACAUCUUUAUAGUCAUCACAACUUGUUGGUGAAUAAAUGAUAUCGAGUACUCAACAUCACAUACAAAUGAAUGGAAAAGAGCUGAAGCUAUAUAUUUCAAGUCGAGACAAAGUACCAGGAUAAGGAAUCAAGAAAGGGAAAGUUCCUAAAGCCCUAUAGCCCAUCGAAGAUAAGUAUAGACAUAUUUGUACCGAUCGACAAGACUCUAUUAGGCAUGCUUAUAACUCGUAAGACCUUUGGGAACCUAGUGCUCUAAUACCAACUUCUCACGAUCCAAAAUUCCACUAAAACUGUGUUGGCGUGUAACACCACUUGCUAGGCAACCAAACAACAAAUAUGCGGAAAUGAACUUUGAAAAUGACAAGAAAUAGUCUCAAGUAGCGGAAUAGUAUAAAUAAAUGAAGUCAUAAUGUUAAUACAACUGACACCACCCAAAAUAUGGUGUCAUCGAGUACAUGAGGUCUAUAGAGUGCAAAAUACAAAGUCUGAAGAACAUACAAUACUGCUUGGAAGAUUAAAUAGUAAUAACACAAGAUAAAGGAGGGAUUUUUAAGACCUGCAAAUGGAACAAUAGUUCUACCUCAAAAUCUCCAAGCAAACCCGUAUCAGCAACACCUGGAUCUGCACACUAAGUGCAAACUAUAUUAUGAGUACAACUGACCCCAUGUACUCAGUAAGUAGCAAGACUAACCUCAGAGAAAGCAGUGGUGAGGUAUGCAAAGUCCAAUGCUCACUUUCAGCAACCAACAACCACAAUAAUUGCAUAAUAGUGGCAUAUAAAGAAAAUCCGUUCAAAUAAUAGUAGGCUCCACUCGAACACAUUAAUAGGAGAAAUAAGCAUGCUUUUUUGGUAUAUCAGUGUUACAUCUCAUACCUUAGCUUUAGGAUGUGCCAUAGUAAAUUCAUAUGAGUUCGAAGGGAUUAUGUCUAUUGGGANNNNNNNNNNNNNNNNNNNNNNNNNNNNNNNNNNNNNNNNNNNNNNNNAAAAAGUAUAUAAAAAAUAAGUAGAAUUUUAAGUAAUUUAAGACAAUUCUUAAUUAUGCGGGUAACGGGACACUACCUAAUUACCUAAUAAGUAAAUAAAGAUUAACAUUUCCCACCCCCACCCCAACGUGGCAGCAAGCCAAUUCUUGGACAAUGACUCUUAGUCAUUUUGGUUAGGUGGCAAAAUGACUACAAAACACUUCAUUUUCUAUAUAUCUUGAACACAAGACACUAUAACCAAAAUCCCUACAAUUUCUUAUACACCCUACAAUCAGAAGCGAGAAGUUAGCAAUUCUUAUAAGUUUAUGAUUAGGUGUGAACGCGAUUUGUGAUUCUUAUAAGUCUUAUAGGUAAUUUGUGAUUAGAUCAGAACGUUAGCAAUUUAUCACUUCCUACAAAUAUUUAACAAAACUCCUUGCAACAAAAUAAUUCCAACGAGAAUUAUUAGCACAUUAGCAACGUGAGAGUUUGCGAUUUUAAAGGAGUACGGUGCAACCUUUUUCAAGAAUAUCAUACAGAUUUCUCCCUACUCCAGGUAUGUUAAGGCUAAUCCUUCUUUCUUUUGGCAUGAUCCAAGUGACGAUACGUAAACUUAAUGCUAUUCCAUAAGUGGUUCUACUCUUAGCAGUUAAGGAUGUCCAUGUUAUUCAUUCCUGUAAAGUUAUAUUCAAGUAUGUUGCUAAGUCUAUAUUGAGGCGUACGAUAAAGAUGUUAAUGUUUAUAAUAUAGUGCGACAUGCAUCUUCAUGCAUUUCCCACUGUGCUACGGCUGGUCGGGCAGUUACCAUCGGUUGGCCAGUUAUGUAUAAUUAUUUACCACCAGUUGGGCAGUCGUGCAUAUUUAUUUACCACCGAGCUACGGCCGGUUGGGCAGUUACACAAUUACUAUCGAGCUACGGCCGGUUGGGCAGUUACAUAUUUACCACCGAGCUACGGCCGGUCGGGCAGUCAUGCAUUUACCACCGAGCUACGGCCGGUUGGGCAGUUAUAUAUUUACCACCGAGCUACGGCCGGUCAGGUAGUUACCACUGAUCAGUUGGGCAGUCAUGUAUCAUACGAUAUGGAUAAUAGUAUCAAAGAGAAGCAUUGUAUUUAUGUAAGUAUAAUAAGUAUGCAUAUACGGUGGCACUUCAGAGAUUCAGGUUGAUUCUUAUAUGUCUUUAAUUAAUGUUGACUUACUGUUAUGUUUCAGUUCUGCCUUACAUACUCAGUACAUUAUUCGUACUGAUGUCCUUUUGUUGGGGACACUGCAUUCAUGCUUGCAGGUAUAGAUAAUCAGUUUGAUGAGCCCUCAUAGUAGACUAGGUUGGCAUUCAACGAAGGAUCGGUAAGACUCUACCUCAUUCGGAGUGCAGCUGAGUCUAUGAGUCAUCAUGUCAGAGUUUUGCUACAGACUUAUGGGUAGGCCGGUACCCUGUCCUAUUUAAUGACAAAUAAUCUUAAAGGCUUUGAAGACAAAGGUUCAUUUUGUACAGUAUGUCAAAGGCCUUGACGACCCAUAUGUAUUCAUGUUUUAAGAAAAAUGGUUCAGUGAAAUAGUGUUUUCCACUUACAGUUGUACAUUAUGAGUUGUGGCCAUGUGGCCCCAUGAUAGUUACUAAAGGAAUGAGUCCGGCUAACUCGAACUAUAUAUGUUCUAUCUUUGGUUGAAUGAUCAUGAGUUACAGAUUGGUUCGCUCGGGCCAGCACGACACCGGGUGCCAGCCACGCCUCCCCAGGUUUGGGGCGUGACAAUCAGUCAAAGCAUCAACCUUUCCGCAAAAUUCAGCUAGAAGAGAUUUAUAAAGAUAAACUAUGAUUCCAAGCUCUAAAUAUCAAAUAUCAAUUAGCACGAGUAAAAUACAACUCUAUGCCUUCUUGGCAAAUAUACAUGCU
Molecule: long non-coding RNA, 17374 nt
Filed under: Nicotiana tabacum (common tobacco)
Lineage: Eukaryota; Viridiplantae; Streptophyta; Magnoliopsida; Solanales; Solanaceae
Description: long non-coding RNA (NTAB_LNC004881)
Source: RNAcentral